CCAACAUAACAUAGAAAACAAACAAAGCAUAGUGCAUGAGUUAUGGGAAAAUCAGACGAAAAUAAACUCUAAAGAAGACGUCCAAACAAUAUUUAGGAAGCGCCGUUGCAAAGGCAAAGCAUCCAACCAAACAUCAUCAUCAACAUCAUCAGCACCAGCGUAGAGAGCACGGAGAGACAGUUACGUUACGACAUUGAUUGAUAGUUUAUUGUUGCAGGUACCCAUUUAUCGACCAGCCUGAGAGGGAGGAUGAACAGCUGGGUGAGCUGCACGCUGACUGCCCGGGCCGUGAUUCGAACCCAGGCCUGCGGAGUAGAAGCCAGGCACGCUAACCACUAGACCACGGAGGCGUAUAACUUUAAGAGUGACACAGGCUAAAUGAACUUAAUUAUAAUGCUUUUGAAAGUCACUUAAUCUGACUUCAUAUAUAUA
Long non-coding RNA from Eriocheir sinensis (Chinese mitten crab), 432 nucleotides. RefSeq lists it as uncharacterized. The record is from RefSeq and is a predicted model, not a curated record. Lineage: Eukaryota; Metazoa; Arthropoda; Malacostraca; Decapoda; Varunidae. The transcript is spliced from 2 exons.